This 427-nucleotide ribosomal RNA is filed under the name uncultured bacterium. RNAcentral describes it as "partial 16S ribosomal RNA". It matches the Rfam family "Bacterial small subunit ribosomal RNA", at positions 355 to 774 of the family's 1533-position model. The record is from RNAcentral.
UGGGGAAUAUUGCACAAUGGGCGCAAGCCUGAUGCAGCCAUGCCGCGUGUAUGAAGAAGGCCUUCGGGUUGUAAAGUACUUUCAGCGGGGAGGAAGGCGAUAAGGUUAAUAACCUUGUCGAUUGACGUUACCCACAGAAGAAGCACCGGCUAACUCCGUGCCAGCAGCCGCGGUAAUACGGAGGGUGCAAGCGUUAAUCGGAAUUACUGGGCGUAAAGCGCACGCAGGCGGUCUGUCAAGUCGGAUGUGAAAUCCCCGGGCUCAACCUGGGAACUGCAUUCGAAACUGGCAGGCUAGAGUCUUGUAGAGGGGGGUAGAAUUCCAGGUGUAGCGGUGAAAUGCGUAGAGAUCUGGAGGAAUACCGGUGGCGAAGGCGGCCCCCUGGACAAAGACUGACGCUCAGGUGCGAAAGCGUGGGGAGCAAACA